GCAUGGAUGAAUUCUGUCCCAGCUGCUCUGUGCUGAAUACAGUCAGACACCAUGCAAAAGCCUCUUCUCAUUUCUGCUAAAUGACUGGAUAGGUGUUUCCGUCAUCUUUGUCCAGCUGCAUAGGAAUGAGUACACUG
Small nucleolar RNA from Cololabis saira (Pacific saury), 137 nucleotides. RefSeq annotates it as small nucleolar RNA SNORA15. The transcript has a single exon. The record is from RefSeq and is a predicted model, not a curated record. Lineage: Eukaryota; Metazoa; Chordata; Actinopteri; Beloniformes; Belonidae.